GACGAACGCUGGCGGCGUGCUUAGCACAUGCAAGUCGAACGGAAAGGCCCUGCUUUUGUGGGGUGCUCGAGUGGCGAACGGGUGAGUAACACGUGAGUAACCUGCCCUUGACUUUGGGAUAACUUCAGGAAACUGGGGCUAAUACCGGAUAGGAUCUCCUGCUGCAUGGUGGGGGUUGGAAAGUUUCGGCGGUUGGGGAUGGACUCGCGGCUUAUCAGCUUGUUGGUGGGGUAGUGGAUUACCAAGGCUUUGACGGGUAGCCGGCCUGAGAGGGUGACCGGCCACAUUGGGACUGAGAUACGGACCAGAAUCCUACGGGAGGCAGCAGGGGGGAAUAUUGCACAAUGGGCGGAAGCCUGAUGCAGCAACGCCGCGUGCGGGAUAACGGGCUUCGGGUUGUAAACCGCUUUCGCCUGUGACGAAGCGUGAGUGACGGUAAUGGGUAAAGAAGCACCGGCUAACUACGUG
This 468-nucleotide ribosomal RNA is filed under the name uncultured bacterium. RNAcentral's name for it is "partial 16S ribosomal RNA". It matches the Rfam family "Bacterial small subunit ribosomal RNA", at positions 28 to 507 of the family's 1533-position model. The record is from RNAcentral.